AACGAACGCUGGCGGCAUGCCUAACACAUGCAAGUCGAACGAGACCUUCGUGUCUAGUGGCGCACGGGUGCGUAACGCGUGGGAAUCUGCCCUUGGGUUCGGAAUAACAGUUGUAAACGACUGCUAAUACCGGAUGAUGACGUAAGUCCAAAGAUUUAUCGCCCAAGGAUGAGCCCGCGUAGGAUUAGCUAGUUGGUGAGGUAAAGGCUCACCAAGGCGACGAUCCUUAGCUGGUCUGAGAGGAUGAUCAGCCACACUGGGACUGAGACACGGCCCAGACUACUACGGGAUGCAGCAGUGGGUAAUCUUGGAAUAUGGGCGAGAGCCUGAUCCAGCAAUGCCGCGUGAGUGAUGAAGGCCUUAGGGUUGUAAAGCUCGUUUACACGGGAUGAUAAUGACAGUACCGGGAGAAUAAGCUCCGGCUAACUCCGUG
This 433-nucleotide ribosomal RNA is filed under the name uncultured bacterium. Its description in RNAcentral is "partial 16S ribosomal RNA". It matches the Rfam family "Bacterial small subunit ribosomal RNA", at positions 29 to 507 of the family's 1533-position model. The record is from RNAcentral.